AUUGAACACUGGCGGAAUGCUUUACACAUGCAAGUCGAACGGCAGCACGGACUUCGGUCUGGUGGCGAGUGGCGAACGGGUGAGUAAUGUAUCGGAACGUGCCCAGUCGUGGGGGAUAACGUAGUGAAAGUUACGCUAAUACCGCAUACGAUCUAUGGAUGAAAGCGGGGGAUCGCAAGACCUCGCGCGAUUGGAGCGGCCGAUAUCAGAUUAGGUAGUUGGUGGGGUAAAGGCCCACCAAGCCAACGAUCUGUAGCUGGUCUGAGAGGACGACCAGCCACACUGGAACUGAGACACGGUCCAGACUCCUACGGGGGGCAGCAGUGGGGAAUUUUGGACAAUGGGCGAAAGCCUGAUCCAGCCAUUCCGCGUGCAGGAUGAAGGCCCUCGGGUUGUAAACUGCUUUUGUACAGAACGAAAAGGUUUCUACUAAUACUAGGAGCUCAUGACGGUACUGUAAGAAUAAGCACCGGCUAACUACGUGCCAGCCGCCGCGGUAA
This 500-nucleotide ribosomal RNA is filed under the name uncultured bacterium. RNAcentral describes it as "partial 16S ribosomal RNA". It matches the Rfam family "Bacterial small subunit ribosomal RNA", at positions 30 to 523 of the family's 1533-position model. The record is from RNAcentral.